AAACCAUGUUGUGGGCAUGAACUAACAAGAUCCUUGAACCGUUCCCAACAUUCGAAGAAUUUUUUAUCUUCCUUUUAGGCGAAGUUUAUGAUCAACUUUCUGAUGGU
This is a small nucleolar RNA of Magnolia sinica, 107 nucleotides long. The record is from RefSeq and is a predicted model, not a curated record. NCBI's taxonomy places the organism in Eukaryota, Viridiplantae, Streptophyta, Magnoliopsida, Magnoliales, Magnoliaceae.